GGUAAUUUGACCGUGCAAAGGUAGCAUAAUCAUUAGUUUUUUAAUUGAAAGCUGGAAUGAAAGGUUGGAUGAGAAAAAAGCUGUCUCUGUUUAAUUUAUUUAGAAUUUUAUCUUUAAGUUAAAAAGCUUAAAUUUAAAUAGAAGACGAGAAGACCCUAUAGAGUUUUAUUGAUUUUUUUUAUAAAAAUAAUAGUAUUUUUUGUUUUUAUAGGGAGGAUCAAUUUGGUUGGGGUGAUUGAAAAAUUGAAUUAACUUUUUUUUUAUAAAUACAUUUAUAUAUGAUUAUUUGAUCCUUAAUUUGAGAUUGAAAGAUAAAAUUACCUUAGGGAUAACAGCGUAAUUUUUUUUGAGAGUUCUAAUCGAAAGAAAAGAUUGCGACCUCGAUGUUGGAUUAAAAUAAAAUUUUGGUGUAGAAGCUAAAA
RNAcentral lists this ribosomal RNA (422 nucleotides) under Laparocerus lamellipes. RNAcentral describes it as "partial 16S ribosomal RNA". The record is from RNAcentral. Lineage: Eukaryota; Metazoa; Arthropoda; Insecta; Coleoptera; Curculionidae. RNAcentral also lists the same sequence under 1 other name.